GAUGAACGCUGGCGGCGUGCCUAAUACAUGCAAGUCGAGCGAACAGACGAGGAGCUUGCUCCUCUGACGUUAGCGGCGGACGGGUGAGUAACACGUGGAUAACCUACCUAUAAGACUGGGAUAACUUCGGGAAACCGGAGCUAAUACCGGAUAAUAUAUUGAACCGCAUGGUUCAAUAGCGAAAGACGGUUUUGCUGUCACUUAUAGAUGGAUCCGCGCCGCAUUAGCUAGUUGGUAAGGUAACGGCUUACCAAGGCAACGAUGCGUAGCCGACCUGAGAGGGGGAUCGGCCACACUGGAGCUGAGACACGGUCCAGACUCCUACGGGAGGCAGCAGUAGGGAAUCGUCCGCAAUGGGCGAAAGCCUGACGGAGCAACGCCGCGUGAGUGAUGAAGGUCUUCGGAUCGUAAAACUCUGUUAUUAGGGAAGAACAAAUGUGUAAGUAACUAUGCACGUCUUGACGGUACCUAAUCAGAAAGCCACGGCUAACUACGU
RNAcentral lists this ribosomal RNA (496 nucleotides) under uncultured bacterium. RNAcentral describes it as "partial 16S ribosomal RNA". It matches the Rfam family "Bacterial small subunit ribosomal RNA", at positions 28 to 506 of the family's 1533-position model. The record is from RNAcentral.